Xenopus laevis (African clawed frog) is the source of this 1336-nucleotide long non-coding RNA. RefSeq lists it as uncharacterized. The transcript is spliced from 3 exons. The record is from RefSeq and is a predicted model, not a curated record. Lineage: Eukaryota; Metazoa; Chordata; Amphibia; Anura; Pipidae.
GUGUGUUAGUUACUACUGUAGACAUAUGAAUGAUUUUCUAAUUGGAAUAAUUUCUAAUUAAUUGAAAUAAAGUGUAUUCCUUUUUUAGAUAAACUAUAUUAGUGUUUUUCUUCAUACACUAGGCAAGAAAUAUAUUUCAAAGACAUUUUAUAACAAUUGUGCCACAGUCCUGAUACUGUAUUAGGGCUAUAGAAUAACCACAGAAUGCACUAGUGGGGGGCAGAUUAAUUAUUAUUUGGGCAUCAGGUUAGCAUGAUAUGAAUGAAACAAAAAAGGUAUUUUAGAUUGUAUCGAAUGCAAAUAUAAAGAAUAUAUUAGAAUGGUGGAUUAUAUUUUCUCUUUGCGGAAUAGAUCAGAAAACAAAUUAGUAGAGCCAGUAAACUAUAUCAGACAAAUAAAUUACAUUCACUAUUUAAAUUUACCCUGAUGUGUGAUUCAAAGGAAAUCGCUUCAUUCAAGUGAGAAUGAAAGGUGACAAAUUAAACACUGAUCUUCUGAUAAAAUUGUAUACUGACAACUGUAUCUAGUUUCCACCCUAAUAAAGCUCACUUUGUGUGAAAUAUAGCUUUAGAUGAAACUGAAAGUUACAUCCAACUUGACUUAUUGAUGGGUAAAUGUAGGAACCAAGUGUAUGCUUAGAAUGACUUUAUAAUUGUAUUGUGAAUAUGUCAAUAAAAAAGUUCAAGAUCAGUAUGAGUACUAAUUCAUCCAAAAUCAGUAUUAUCAUAAUAAAAAGCAAAUAUCAGAGCUUGCAUAUUUAACAUUGAAAAGUCCUAAAUUAGUACGUAUGACCUAGUAAUUGUUGCAUAAAUCUUCAGUUCCAGAUGGCAUAACAGAAAAUCCAUGUGUUAUCCUGUAUGGCAUUGUAGGUUUGGAAGCUGGUAUUAUCAUUCUGCUUGUGGCUGUGAUAGUUAAAUAUCUUCUUAAAGGUUUGACUGAUACUAAAUGUAAGGAAAGAGAGAAGAAAGAUGAACCAAUAAUUCAUUAUGCUGAGAUCUGUAGCGGAAACCUAUCUUCACACCCACGGAUAAGGAAGGAGGAAAAUAUCACCUAUGCAUCUGUUAUGGUGCACAAAUAAUAAUAAACAUCUGUAAACAUUUACUCAAAUUUCCCCAAAAAAAAUGUCCCAAAAACUUGAAUGCCAGGAAGGCAAUUAACAUAUUGAAAUGGUUCAACAGACCUCUGCCAUUGACUUGUACUGUAAAUGAACUCAGCAGGUUUUAGGUGGCAAAUAUUCUAAUUAGAAAUGUUUCCAUUCCCUGGGUUGUCUUACUUCUUCAAUGGAUACCUAAUAUUAAGGGGCAGAUUUACAUAGGGUCGAAUAUCGAGGGUUAAU